GUCUACGGCCAUGCUACCCUGAACAAGCCAGUCCCAUCUGAUCUCGGAAGCUAAGCAGGGUCGGGCCUGGUUAGUAUUUGGAUGGGAGACCACCUAGGAAAACCAGGUGCUGUAGGCG
RNAcentral lists this ribosomal RNA (118 nucleotides) under Pteropus alecto (black flying fox). The record is from RNAcentral. RNAcentral also lists the same sequence under 1 other name. Lineage: Eukaryota; Metazoa; Chordata; Mammalia; Chiroptera; Pteropodidae.